Molecule: ribosomal RNA, 442 nt
Filed under: uncultured bacterium
Lineage: Bacteria
Description: bacterial SSU rRNA
Rfam family: Bacterial small subunit ribosomal RNA
Source: RNAcentral
UAUGGAAGCUUGCUUCCACUGAGAAGAUAGUGGCGAACGGGUGAGUAACACGUGGGUAACCUGCCCAUAGAGGGGGAUAACAUCCGGAAACGGGUGCUAAUACCGCAUAGUUUUCUUGAUCGCAUGAUCGGGAAAGGAAGACGGCCUUUGUGCUGUCGCUUAUGGAUGGACCCGCGGCGUAUUAGUUAGUUGGUGAGGUAACGGCUCACCAAGACGAUGAUACGUAGCCGACCUGAGAGGGUGAUCGGCCACAUUGGGACUGAGACACGGCCCAAACUCCUACGGGAGGCAGCAGUGGGGAAUAUUGCACAAUGGGGGAAACCCUGAUGCCAGCAACGCCGCGUGAGUGAUGACGGCCUUCGGGUUGUAAAGCUCUGUCUUCAGGGACGAUAAUGACGGUACCUGAGGAGGAAGCCACGGCUAACUACGUGCCAGCCGCCGC